Molecule: ribosomal RNA, 490 nt
Filed under: uncultured bacterium
Lineage: Bacteria
Description: partial 16S ribosomal RNA
Rfam family: Bacterial small subunit ribosomal RNA
Source: RNAcentral
AUUGAACGCUGGCGGCAGGCCUAACACAUGCAAGUCGAACGGUAACAGAAAGCAGCUUGCUGCUUUGCUGACGAGUGGCGGGCGGGUGAGUAAUGUCUGGGAAACCGCCUGAUGGAGGGGGACAACUACUGGAAACGGUAGCUAAUACCGCAUAACGUCGCAAGCCCAAAGAGGGGGAACUUCGGGCCUCUUGCUAACGGCUAUGCCCAGAUGGGUUUAGCUAGUAGGUGGGGUAAAGGCCCACCUAGGCGACGAUCCCUAGCUGGUCUGAGAGGAUGACCAGCCACACUGGAACGGAGACACGCUCCAGACUCCUACGGGAGGCAGCAGUGGGGAAUAUUGCACAAUGGGCGCAAGCCUGAUGAAGCCAUGCCGCGUGUGUGAAGAAGGCCUUCGAGUUGUAAAGUACUUUCAGCGGGGAGGAAGGGAGUAAAGGUAAUACCUUUGCUCAUUGACGUUACCCUCAGAAGAAGCACCGGCUAACUCCGUG